UUUUGUUUAUGUGGGUUAAAGCU
RNAcentral lists this non-coding RNA (23 nucleotides) under Rattus norvegicus (Norway rat). The record is from RNAcentral. Lineage: Eukaryota; Metazoa; Chordata; Mammalia; Rodentia; Muridae.